RNAcentral lists this ribosomal RNA (801 nucleotides) under uncultured bacterium. RNAcentral's name for it is "bacterial SSU rRNA". It matches the Rfam family "Bacterial small subunit ribosomal RNA", at positions 59 to 873 of the family's 1533-position model. The record is from RNAcentral.
CAGUCGAACGGAGCUUAGAGAGCUUGCUUUUUAAGCUUAGUGGCGAACGGGUGAGUAUCGCGUGAGUAACCUGCCCUAGAGUGGGGGACAACAGUUGGAAACGACUGCUAAUACCGCAUAAGCCCACGGUACCGCAUGGCACUGAGGGAAAAGGAUUUAUUCGCUUUAGGAUGGACUCGCGUCCAAUUAGCUAGUUGGUGAGGUAACGGCCCACCAAGGCGACGAUUGGUAGCCGGACUGAGAGGUUGAACGGCCACAUUGGGACUGAGACACGGCCCAGACUCCUACGGGAGGCAGCAGUGGGGGAUAUUGCACAAUGGGGGAAACCCUGAUGCAGCGACGCCGCGUGGAGGAAGAAGGUUUUCGGAUUGUAAACUCCUGUCGUUAGGGACGAUAAUGACGGUACCUAACAAGAAAGCACCGGCUAACUACGUGCCAGCAGCCGCGGUAAAACGUAGGGUGCAAGCGUUGUCCGGAAUUACUGGGUGUAAAGGGAGCGCAGGCGGGAAGACAAGUUGGAAGUGAAAACCAUGGGCUCAACCCAUGAAUUGCUUUCAAAACUGUUUUUCUUGAGUAGUGCAGAGGUAGAUGGAAUUCCCGGUGUAGCGGUGGAAUGCGUAGAUAUCGGGAGGAACACCAGUGGCGAAGGCGGUCUACUGGGCACCAACUGACGCUGAGGCUCGAAAGCAUGGGUAGCAAACAGGAUUAGAUACCCUGGUAGUCCAUGCCGUAGACGAUGAUUACUAGGUGUUGGGGGAUUGACCCCCUCAGUGCCGCAGUUAACACAAUAAGUAAUCCACC